RNAcentral lists this transfer RNA (64 nucleotides) under Anobiinae sp. GENSP01. RNAcentral describes it as "tRNA-Glu". The record is from RNAcentral. Lineage: Eukaryota; Metazoa; Arthropoda; Insecta; Coleoptera; Ptinidae.
AUUUAUAUAGUUUAAGAAAAAACAUUAUAUUUUCAAUGUAAAAAUAAAUUUUAUUUUAUAAAUA